RNAcentral lists this ribosomal RNA (2902 nucleotides) under Klebsiella pneumoniae. RNAcentral describes it as "23S ribosomal RNA". It matches the Rfam family "Bacterial large subunit ribosomal RNA". The record is from RNAcentral. Lineage: Bacteria; Pseudomonadati; Pseudomonadota; Gammaproteobacteria; Enterobacterales; Enterobacteriaceae.
GGUUAAGCGACUAAGCGUACACGGUGGAUGCCCUGGCAGUCAGAGGCGAUGAAGGACGUGCUAAUCUGCGAAAAGCGUCGGUAAGGUGAUAUGAACCGUUAUAACCGGCGAUGUCCGAAUGGGGAAACCCAGUGCAAUUCGUUGCACUAUCGUUAACUGAAUACAUAGGUUAACGAGGCGAACCGGGGGAACUGAAACAUCUAAGUACCCCGAGGAAAAGAAAUCAACCGAGAUUCCCCCAGUAGCGGCGAGCGAACGGGGAGCAGCCCAGAGUCUGAAUCAGCUUGUGUGUUAGUGGAACGGUCUGGAAAGUCCGACGGUACAGGGUGAUAGUCCCGUACACCAAAAUGCACAGGCUGUGAACUCGAAGAGUAGGGCGGGACACGUGGUAUCCUGUCUGAAUAUGGGGGGACCAUCCUCCAAGGCUAAAUACUCCUGACUGACCGAUAGUGAACCAGUACCGUGAGGGAAAGGCGAAAAGAACCCCGGCGAGGGGAGUGAAAAAGAACCUGAAACCGUGUACGUACAAGCAGUGGGAGCACCUUCGGGUGUGACUGCGUACCUUUUGUAUAAUGGGUCAGCGACUUAUAUUCUGUAGCAAGGUUAACCGUAUAGGGGAGCCGCAGGGAAACCGAGUCUUAACUGGGCGUUAAGUUGCAGGGUAUAGACCCGAAACCCGGUGAUCUAGCCAUGGGCAGGUUGAAGGUUGGGUAACACUAACUGGAGGACCGAACCGACUAAUGUUGAAAAAUUAGCGGAUGACUUGUGGCUGGGGGUGAAAGGCCAAUCAAACCGGGAGAUAGCUGGUUCUCCCCGAAAGCUAUUUAGGUAGCGCCUCGUGAAUUCAUCUUCGGGGGUAGAGCACUGUUUCGGCUAGGGGGUCAUCCCGACUUACCAACCCGAUGCAAACUACGAAUACCGAAGAAUGUUAUCACGGGAGACACACGGCGGGUGCUAACGUCCGUCGUGAAGAGGGAAACAACCCAGACCGCCAGCUAAGGUCCCAAAGUCAUGGUUAAGUGGGAAACGAUGUGGGAAGGCACAGACAGCCAGGAUGUUGGCUUAGAAGCAGCCAUCAUUUAAAGAAAGCGUAAUAGCUCACUGGUCGAGUCGGCCUGCGCGGAAGAUGUAACGGGGCUAAACCAUGCACCGAAGCUGCGGCAGCGACACUAUGUGUUGUUGGGUAGGGGAGCGUUCUGUAAGCCUGCGAAGGUGUGCUGUGAGGCAUGCUGGAGGUAUCAGAAGUGCGAAUGCUGACAUAAGUAACGAUAAAGCGGGUGAAAAGCCCGCUCGCCGGAAGACCAAGGGUUCCUGUCCAACGUUAAUCGGGGCAGGGUGAGUCGACCCCUAAGGCGAGGCCGAAAGGCGUAGUCGAUGGGAAACAGGUUAAUAUUCCUGUACUUGGUGUUACUGCGAAGGGGGGACGGAGAAGGCUAUGUUAGCCGGGCGACGGUUGUCCCGGUUUAAGCAUGUAGGCUGAUUGUCCAGGCAAAUCCGGAUAAUCAAGGCUGAGGUGUGAUGACGAGGCACUACGGUGCUGAAGUAACAAAUGCCCUGCUUCCAGGAAAAGCCUCUAAGCAUCAGGUAACAUUAAAUCGUACCCCAAACCGACACAGGUGGUCAGGUAGAGAAUACCAAGGCGCUUGAGAGAACUCGGGUGAAGGAACUAGGCAAAAUGGUGCCGUAACUUCGGGAGAAGGCACGCUGGUGUGUAGGUGAAGCCCCUGCGGGUGGAGCUGAGACCAGUCGAAGAUACCAGCUGGCUGCAACUGUUUAUUAAAAACACAGCACUGUGCAAACACGAAAGUGGACGUAUACGGUGUGACGCCUGCCCGGUGCCGGAAGGUUAAUUGAUGGGGUUAUCCGUAAGGAGAAGCUCUUGAUCGAAGCCCCGGUAAACGGCGGCCGUAACUAUAACGGUCCUAAGGUAGCGAAAUUCCUUGUCGGGUAAGUUCCGACCUGCACGAAUGGCGUAAUGAUGGCCAGGCUGUCUCCACCCGAGACUCAGUGAAAUUGAACUCGCUGUGAAGAUGCAGUGUACCCGCGGCAAGACGGAAAGACCCCGUGAACCUUUACUAUAGCUUGACACUGAACAUUGAGCCUUGAUGUGUAGGAUAGGUGGGAGGCUUUGAAGCGUGGACGCCAGUCUGCGUGGAGCCAACCUUGAAAUACCACCCUUUAAUGUUUGAUGUUCUAACGUUGGCCCCUGACCGGGGUUGCGGACAGUGUCUGGUGGGUAGUUUGACUGGGGCGGUCUCCUCCCAAAGCGUAACGGAGGAGCACGAAGGUUAGCUAAUCCUGGUCGGACAUCAGGAGGUUAGUGCAAUGGCAUAAGCUAGCUUGACUGCGAGCGUGACGGCGCGAGCAGGUGCGAAAGCAGGUCAUAGUGAUCCGGUGGUUCUGAAUGGAAGGGCCAUCGCUCAACGGAUAAAAGGUACUCCGGGGAUAACAGGCUGAUACCGCCCAAGAGUUCAUAUCGACGGCGGUGUUUGGCACCUCGAUGUCGGCUCAUCACAUCCUGGGGCUGAAGUAGGUCCCAAGGGUAUGGCUGUUCGCCAUUUAAAGUGGUACGCGAGCUGGGUUUAGAACGUCGUGAGACAGUUCGGUCCCUAUCUGCCGUGGGCGCUGGAGAAUUGAGGGGGGCUGCUCCUAGUACGAGAGGACCGGAGUGGACGCAUCACUGGUGUUCGGGUUGUCAUGCCAAUGGCACUGCCCGGUAGCUAAAUGCGGAAGAGAUAAGUGCUGAAAGCAUCUAAGCACGAAACUUGCCCCGAGAUGAGUUCUCCCUGAGACUUUAAGUCUCCUGAAGGAACGUUGAAGACGACGACGUUGAUAGGCCGGGUGUGUAAGCGCAGCGAUGCGUUGAGCUAACCGGUACUAAUGAACCGUGAGGCUUAACCUU